This 71-nucleotide transfer RNA is filed under the name Bos taurus (domestic cattle). It matches the Rfam family "tRNA". From Rfam's summary of the family: Transfer RNA (tRNA) molecules are approximately 80 nucleotides in length. Their secondary structure includes four short double-helical elements and three loops (D, anti-codon, and T loops). Further hydrogen bonds mediate the characteristic L-shaped molecular structure. tRNAs have two regions of fundamental functional importance: the anti-codon, which is responsible for specific mRNA codon recognition, and the 3' end, to which the tRNAs corresponding amino acid is attached (by aminoacyl-tRNA synthetases). tRNAs cope with the degeneracy of the genetic code in two manners: having more than one tRNA (with a specific anti-codon) for a particular amino acid; and 'wobble' base-pairing, i.e. permitting non-standard base-pairing at the 3rd anti-codon position. The record is from Rfam by way of RNAcentral. Lineage: Eukaryota; Metazoa; Chordata; Mammalia; Artiodactyla; Bovidae. RNAcentral also lists the same sequence under 4 other names.
UCCUCACUGGUUGAGCGGUAAAGAAUCUGCUUGCAAUGCAGGAGAUCCAGGUUCAAUCCCUGAGUCAGGAA